This 493-nucleotide ribosomal RNA is filed under the name uncultured bacterium. Its description in RNAcentral is "partial 16S ribosomal RNA". It matches the Rfam family "Bacterial small subunit ribosomal RNA", at positions 29 to 523 of the family's 1533-position model. The record is from RNAcentral.
AUUGAACGCUGGCGGCAUGCUUUACACAUGCAAGUCGAACGGUAACAGGUUAAGCUGACGAGUGGCGAACGGGUGAGUAAUGCAUCGGAACGUGCCCGGUCGUGGGGGAUAACGCAGCGAAAGCUGCGCUAAUACCGCAUCCGAUCUGAGGAUGAAAGCGGGGGACCGUAAGGCCUCGCGCGAUCGUAGCGGCCGAUGUCAGAUUAGGUAGUUGGUGGGGUAAAGGCUCACCAAGCCAACGAUCGGUAGGUGGUCGGAGAGGACGACCAGCCACACUGGGACUGAGACACGGCACAGACUCCUACGGGAGGCAGCGGUGGGGAAUUUUGGACAAUGGGCGAAAGCCUGAUCCAGCAAUGCCGCGUGCAGGAAGAAGGCCUUCGGGUUGUAAACUGCUUUUGUACGGAGCGAAAAGGUCUCCUCUAAUACAGGGGGCUCAUGACGGUACCGUAAGAAUAAGCACCGGCUAACUACGUGCCAGCAGCCGCCGUAA